This 253-nucleotide ribosomal RNA is filed under the name uncultured bacterium. Its description in RNAcentral is "partial 16S ribosomal RNA". It matches the Rfam family "Bacterial small subunit ribosomal RNA", at positions 524 to 776 of the family's 1533-position model. The record is from RNAcentral.
UACGUAGGGUGCGAGCGUUGUCCGGAAUUAUUGGGCGUAAAGAGCUCGUAGGCGGCCUGUCGCGUCGGAUGUGAAAGCCCGGGGCUUAACCCCGGGUCUGCAUUCGAUACGGGCAGGCUAGAGUUCGGUAGGGGAGAUUGGAAUUCCUGGUGUAGCGGUGGAAUGCGCAGAUAUCAGGAGGAACACCGAUGGCGAAGGCAGAUCUCUGGGCCGUAACUGACGCUGAGGAGCGAAAGCAUGGGGAGCGAACAGG